CUUUAAAAACCCUCGACUGCAACUGCUGGGGGAUCGAUCUCCUCUGCCCCUGUGUGGGUUAUGAGCUCGGCCUCAGCAUGCUGAUUCCUAAAUAAACCUCAUGAGAAUAAACCUCAAUAACGGUUUCUCUCGAGUUGUUGGGGCGUCAGCUCAUCCUGUGACUUGAGCAAGGGCCUCCCCGAAAUGGCGGCCUUUCAAAAUGAACCAAGAAAGUAGCUGCAGGCUUGGGGAAAGAGCUGGUUGUCUGCUGCUGUGAAACUUACAAAGCUACAGAUAGCCUAGUCACCAAAGCCAUUGGAGAUCUGCGAAGGAGAAAUUAUAGAAAGAUAUAUAGUCCAAAUGGUCUACAGAUCAAGUAAACAACAAAGCCUAGUCCACUACCUAGAUGGUUCCCCUGGGCUUCCAUGGUCUCUAUGGCUUAGUUAGGGGCAGAGGUAGCAUCAGUCUUUGGCCACCAGACACAAAGAUCUGAGAGACUUUCCUGUGGAGGAGGAACUUGGAGGACUGGCAUGCCUUGUCUAGACAAAGUGCGGCUAUCAACUCUCCAGUGUCCUGCUUGUCCACAGUUUGGGCAGGGUCCUGGUGACAGUUCCAGAGUCCCAGAGUGAAGUUUCAGUUUUAGAACUUGAGUGGGUGGUCUGAUCUCACUGGACCUUCAGAAAAUAUUAAUUCUACCAGGACACUUGUAACUAUGACUUCACUGCUGAAUUGCCAUCACACCGGUUCCUCUGACAGCCUCAAAAAGAUAUCAUCAAAUCUUUGUCACAUAAAACAGUAGAAAGAGCUGCAGCUGGAGCGCGGUGAGGUAGAGGCACACACCCCUCAUUACCUCUGUGCCUGCCUGACCUUCUUGGCUCUACCUCUCAUAGCUUACCGCAUGCCUGUUGGAGACAUGUGGGCCAGUUUGGAGCACAAGGAAGAAAUGUUGGGGAAGGUGAACUUUAGCAAAAGAAGCUAGAGUCAGUCACCUCAGUCAAUGGCAGACCUGUGAGCCUUCUUUUGUUAAUUUAUGCAAAUGGUGCUUAUUCUUAUUACAUAAAAACCACCUAAGGUAAUCUGAGAAUCAAAAGAUUGUGUUGUUUUCUAGUAGUGAAGGCUUUGAUAUACAGCUCCGGAUUUGGCCACAGCUCUGUUUUUUUUUUUUUUGCCUCCAGAAAUUCAAAGACCUUUCAUUUAAGAGAGGAAGAGUGAUGCACACAAGUCAAUUUGACCAGUAGGAGUGCAGAAUAUUAAAACAUUUGUUGAAUGUGAAGGUGCUAAUGUAAUGGCCAAUGACUUGCCCAAAGGAUACUUACCUAGGGUCCUAGAACUGUGGCAGGGGUCCCCUAAACCCUAUGUAGUACACGGUCCAUGGAACAUAGUCAUGCCCACAAUAGGGUUAUUGCUUAGGGGUCUUGAUCUGGUACAUUUUCUCUGCCAAUUAAAGAACUAAAAGGCAGGAGAAACCUCAGGCUGCAACAGACUUAAUUAUAAAGAGAGAGACAGACAGACAGAGAGACAGACAGAGAGACAGACAGAGAGACAGACAGAGACAGACAGAGACAGAGAGAGAGAAGAGAUAGAGAACAAAACACAUUGUACAUUGAGAGAAAAGAGUCCCAAAGAGCAGAGAAGAGAUUAAAAUCCAAUCAGAGGGCCUGGGUUUUUAAACGGUUUUUGUGGUAUAGGUCAGACUCUCCUCCAAUGAUUUUGGGUUGGUCAACUUAGUCCAAGAAGAAGAAAGCUGAUUGGCCCACAGCUCGGGUAAACAUGGUUGGAAUGAACCUUGAAUACCUCUGAACAGCAGGGACCAGUCAGCCAGAAGAGGAUCCCUUCUGGUGGGUGACAAAGCCCACAAGACUGUUGUCUUAAGUCAGGAGGGUGACAGGGGUCUGACUCCUCAGUAGUGUCUAAGGACACAGGAAACCCGAGGGACAGAGAUGCAGGCAGGAGUUGUAAGCCAGAACUCUGCCCAGCCGCCGCAGCAUGGCGUCUCUAGGUCAGGUUGGAGAGCAGGAUCCUUAGCCCGACUAGAACAAAAAGAAAAGAUUUCACACUGGCAGAGCUUCUUUCCUUUUUUAAUAUUUAGAAACAAAAUAAUCACCUUUGCUGCCAGGCAGUGCAAAGACUAGUCCAGCCCACCUUUCUUGAAAACCCAUGAUCUGCUUUUCAAGGGGAAGAUGAAAGUGCCAGGCACAGACAAUGGAUCUGAAACACCGCUGACUCUUGAAUAUUCAUGACUAUUCUAAUGCAAAUGAACGCUUCCAAUUGAGCUGGGUUUGCCUGCCGAGGUGGCUUGGAAGUGCUUUAAGCUUGCAAUAUUGCUUCUCUGUUCUUUAGAUCCCCCCCCCCCCCCCAGAACAACGUCCUCUGCUUAUUUAGAAUUCUCCUAGAAGAUUUUCCAGGUGUCCUCCUUUGGUUGAAGUUUCUGCCCCUUAAACACAUGGGCUGUGGAUCAACCUAACCCACAGGACAGCCUGCCCUUGUUUAAUUGGAGUCCAGGUCUGAGAGGCCCUCCUUUUUCUGCCCAGGGCCAGAGAGGCUUAUCACACACCAGAUUGCUUUUCCUUUGAGGUUACCUCAAACCAAAGCUCACUGUUCCCUGAAGGGCAGAGGGCGAAGAGGCUUCUGCCAGCGUUAGGAGCACUUGUUCCAGCCCUCUGGCUCAGGUAGUCAGGAGGGCUGUUUGAACUUCCUUGACUCUUGCACCCCAGGGCUCAUACCUAUAAGUGGCCUUGGCCUGUAAGCUGGGGCUUUGCCAGGUAGAAAGACUCUGCAAGACAAAACCCUGCGGGCUGAUGGUGGUGACCUUUAGAGGAACACAGUGAAUCUUCAGUCCAGGAGCACGGUGCAUCUUCAGUCCCUGUGUGUGCUAAGGGAGGCUUUCCCUUCAUAACGGGAUUUGUUGUGAGGAUUUCUGGCCAAAUCCUAGGAGGAGGAGGGGACAAGGAUGAGAAAGGAAAGUCAUUGUGCAGCCAAGGACCCUUCUGGAGAAGAAUACGGACACUGGCCCCGACCCAGGUCAGUGAAGAAAGUUUCUAUAACUUCCACCAUCUCCCAGGAGUUGGGUGGUCCUCAGGAUCCAUUGGAGUGGAUGAUGACACAUCUAGGCUUAUAUUGGCCCAGGAUCCUUAUACCAUCUAAGGACUCCUCCUGAAGGGUCUUAGGCAUGGCUCUGAUUCCACUCUUUGAUUAGCCCUUGAAAUAGAUUCGUACCUCCUAGGCUUUCCAGCAGAAGUUUCUACCCUCAAAUACUCUAUGGAAAAAGACACUCUCUAUGCCUGACACACAUUUAUUCAAUGAGCAUUUACCUAUGUUCUAAGCAGGUGACACAGGUGACAGAGACAUAGUCUCUGAUCAAUGUGUCUUGGUCUAUGGAUUCAGACUACUCUACACCCAUAGUCCCCCUCUGCACCAUGGUCACUAUCAAUGCCAUAGCUUUCUCUGGGGUGACCUCACCUUCAGUGCCCUCGUCUGGGUCCUAAAGCUACCCGAGCUAUACACACCGCCAUCAUAGAGUUCUACUUUCCACUCAGCCUCUCACGCGUGCCUGUUGUUUGCUUUCUCCUGGCAUUGCUAACACCUUUACCUGUGAUGAUUUUGUGGCUGUGAACUAGUUUGGACUUCACAAGAAGCACAUUGAUUCUCGAGGACUGGAACUACGUGGCAUGUUCCCUCCAUGUUUCAUUUCCAGGGGUGCGUAGUGUUGGCCUAGGCCUGGUGAUGUCAGUCAGACAGGCUUUAAUGAAGAUGGUACUCUAGUCGUGGCAGCUACUGAAAGACGUAGGAGGUGGGUGUCUGUAGCCCAAGCUUCUGUUCAAAUCGAGUGGCCCUGACCCUGAAAUAGACCCUGACUAUGAGCACAGAAGCCAGCAGCUCAGCUCUGUAAACAUUUAUAUACAAAGAACGUCCAUUUAGUUGCUUUUAAACGAAGGAAGUUUCUCUUCAGUGCCUUUUAGAAGGAUACUGUUAAGAGGAUGACAAGCAAGGGCGAUGCACAAAGGGAGGCAAGGGAAGUGCAUUGAGAAAUAAAGAAGCAUCUCCUGUAGCCAGAGUGGAGACGUGGCAACGUGAGGAUGAGUGAUCAAGUAGCAUGCUGAAACAGUUUUUAUAUCUCAGGAAUGAACCGGAUUGGUCCCAUAUGUAAAUUAGGCAUCAUACUCAGAUGAGUCUGAUUGGUUGUUUUGAGUGCAUGUGGGAAAGUCUGCUUUGUUGAAGGGUCCUGUAAAGAGCAGCACCUUGGAAAGCGAAAGCUGGUAGUCAGCUGACAUCUUGGAGGGUCCAGGUCUUUUGGAUUUUAACUCUUUAGUUCACCAACUGUGCUGGAUGUUUUGAUGUCGAUGGCAUACGUUCCAGGGAUUUGUUUUAGAAGAGGGAAACUCAAUUGAGAAAAUGCCCUCAUCAUACUGGACUGUAUGCAAACUUUUUUUUUUUACUGUAUGCAAACUUAUGUUACAUUUUCUUGAUUGAUGACUGGUGUGGGAGGGUCCAAUUCACUGUGUUCAAUGUCACCCCUGGGCUGGUAGUUCUGGGUGCUAUAAGAAAGUGGGGGUGGGCAAACCCUAAAGAACAAGCCGGUAAGAAGUAUUCCUUCAUGACCUCUGCUUCAUUUCCUGCCCUGAGGUCCUGCCAUGACUUCCUGGAUGAUGAACUACAAGCUGUAAACUGAAAUAAAACUUCAUCCCCAAGUUGCUUUUGGUCUUGGGGUUUUAUUAGAAUAGACACUGAGUGUGUAGAGCCCAUUGAAAAACCUCACAGCACUAAGGUUACAGGUUUGGCAUGGACAUAUUGAUAGUCUUGUUCUCCUGGAGACUGUAACCCCAACUGUGGAUAGAAUGGUGCAGCCUUACUUUUGAUUUGUAUUAAUAUUCAUAUCCCAUUGGCUGA
Mus musculus (house mouse) is the source of this 4866-nucleotide long non-coding RNA. RefSeq annotates it as predicted gene, 31015. The transcript has 3 exons. The record is from RefSeq and is a predicted model, not a curated record. NCBI's taxonomy places the organism in Eukaryota, Metazoa, Chordata, Mammalia, Rodentia, Muridae.